This 460-nucleotide ribosomal RNA is filed under the name uncultured bacterium. RNAcentral describes it as "partial 16S ribosomal RNA". It matches the Rfam family "Bacterial small subunit ribosomal RNA", at positions 338 to 795 of the family's 1533-position model. The record is from RNAcentral.
CCUACGGGAGGCAGCAGUGGGGAAUAUUGGUCAAUGGGCGCGAGCCUGAACCAGCCAAGUAGCGUGAAGGAUGACUGCCCUACGGGUUGUAAGCUUCUUUUAUAAAGGAGUAAAGUGAGGCACGUGUGCCUUUUUGUAUGUACUUUAUGAAUAAGGAUCGGCUAACUACGUGACAGCAGCCGCGGUAAUACGGAGGAUCCGAGCGUUAUCCGGAUUUAUUGGGGUUAAAGGGCGCGUAGAUGGGUUGUUAAGUCAGUUGUGAAAGUUUGCGGCUCAACCGUAAAAUUGCAAUUGAUACUGGCAGCCUUGAGUACAGUUGAGGUAGGCGGAAUUCGUGGUGUAGCGGUGAAAUGCUUAGAUAUCACGAAGAACUCCGAUUGCGAAGGCAGCUUACUAAACUGCCACUGACAUUGAUGCUCGAAAGUGUGGGUAUCAAACAGGAUUAGAUACCCGUGUAGUC